Molecule: transfer RNA, 53 nt
Filed under: Scatoglyphus polytrematus
Lineage: Eukaryota; Metazoa; Arthropoda; Arachnida; Sarcoptiformes; Acaridae
Description: tRNA-Ile
Source: RNAcentral
UAGGCCAAACCCUAAAGGGAAUCCUCUUGAUAGGGGGAAUUUAAUUAGCCUAC